This 301-nucleotide ribosomal RNA is filed under the name uncultured bacterium. RNAcentral describes it as "partial 16S ribosomal RNA". It matches the Rfam family "Bacterial small subunit ribosomal RNA", at positions 509 to 807 of the family's 1533-position model. The record is from RNAcentral.
CAGCAGCCGCGGUAAUACGUAGGUGGCAAGCGUUGUCCGGAAUUAUUGGGCGUAAAGGGCUCGCGGGCGGUUUCUUAAGUCUGAUGUGAAAGCCCCCGGCUCAACCCGGGAGGGUCAUUGGAAAUUGGGAAACUUGAGUGCAGAAGAGGAGAGUGGAAUUCCACGUGUAGCGGUGAAAUGCGUAGAGAUGUGGAGGAACACCAGUGGCGAAGGCGACUCUCUGGUCUGUAACUGACGCUGAGGAGCGAAAGCGUGGGGAGCGAACAGGAUUAGAUACCCCCGUAGUCCCUGUCUCUUAUAC